GGCAAACGGGUGAAGCUAACAUGGUAGGUAUCAUGCCCUUUGGCCUGGAAUAACACGGAGGAAACUUGUGCUAAUACCGGAUAAGUCUUUACGGAGAAAGCUUUAUGCACCAUUGGAUGAGCCUGCACUUGAUUAGUUUGUUGGUGGGGUAAUGGCCUACCAAGACUGUGAUCAAUAGCUGAUUUGAGAGGAUGAUCAGCCACAUUGGGACUGAGACACGGCCCAAACUCCUACGGGAGGCAGCAGUGGGGAAUCUUGCACAAUGGAGGAAACUCUGAUGCAGCGAUGCCGCGUGAGUGAAGAAGGCCCUUGGGUUGUAAAGCUCUUUCGUCGGGGAAGAAAAUGACUGUACCCGAAUAAGAAGGUCCGGCUAACUUCGUGCCAGCAGCCGCGGUAAUACGAAGGGACCUAGCGUAGUUCGGAAUUACUGGGCUUAAAGAGUUC
RNAcentral lists this ribosomal RNA (444 nucleotides) under uncultured Pseudomonadota bacterium. Its description in RNAcentral is "bacterial SSU rRNA". It matches the Rfam family "Bacterial small subunit ribosomal RNA", at positions 97 to 570 of the family's 1533-position model. Lineage: Bacteria; Pseudomonadati; Pseudomonadota. The record is from RNAcentral.